RNAcentral lists this transfer RNA (90 nucleotides) under Cyclobacterium amurskyense. RNAcentral's name for it is "tRNA-Ser". It matches the Rfam family "tRNA". Rfam says of the family: Transfer RNA (tRNA) molecules are approximately 80 nucleotides in length. Lineage: Bacteria; Pseudomonadati; Bacteroidota; Cytophagia; Cytophagales; Cyclobacteriaceae. The record is from RNAcentral.
AGAGAGGUGUCCGAGUGGUUUAAGGAGCACGCUUGGAAAGCGUGUAUACUAGCAAUGGUAUCGAGGGUUCGAAUCCCUUCCUCUCUUCAA